CCUACGGGCGGCAGCAGUGAGGAAUCUUGGUCAAUGGGCGCGAGCCUGAACCAGCCAAGUAGCGUGAAGGAUGACUGCCCUACGGGUUGUAAACUUCUUUUAUGAAGGAAUAAAGUGAGGCACGUGUGCCUUUUUGUAUGUACUUUAUGAAUAAGGAUCGGCUAACUCCGUGCCCGCAGCCGCGGUAAUACGGAUGAUCCGAGCGUUAUCCGGAUUUAUUGGGUUUAAAGGGCGCGUAGCUGGGUUGUUAAGUCAGUUGUGAAAGUUUGCGGCUCAACCGUAAAAUUGCAAUUGAUACUGGCAGGCUGGAGUACAGUGGAGGUAGGCGGAAUUCGCGGUGUAGCGGUGAAAUGCUUAGAUAUCACGAAGAACUCCGAUUGCGAAGGCAGCUUACUAAACUGCAACUGACAUUGAUGCUCGAAAGUGAGGGUAUCAAACAGGAUUAGAUACCCGAGUAGUC
Molecule: ribosomal RNA, 460 nt
Filed under: uncultured bacterium
Lineage: Bacteria
Description: partial 16S ribosomal RNA
Rfam family: Bacterial small subunit ribosomal RNA
Source: RNAcentral